UAUAAUAUUCUAAAACUAGCAAGAUGAUCAGCACAAAUAGUGAGGUUAUUUAGCUUUAUUUUGCAUUUGGUGUUUUAAUUUGAAAAUGGUUAUUACAACUAGUUUUGUUUACUUGUUUGACUAACUGCAUCCAUAUAGCCCCAAAUUCUAUAUAGCUACUUUUUAUGCAACCGGAGGGGCUUGCGUCCCUACAGAAAAAUUAAAUUACUAAAAAGAUGGGUCAACAGUUAUAAGCCACGAUCCGAGAAAUGAAAAAGGAAGAAAAAGAAGAUAAAAGAUAAAAAAUACAAAUUACUACAGAUUUUGGAUUCAUAGGUCAAAGAUAUCUGAGAUACUAUUAGGUCAUUUUCUGUUGUCCAAAUUGCCCAACUCAUUAAGAUAGCCACCAACAUGAAAAAAUGGGAAUGUGACUAAACUCUUAUUUGUAGUAAAGCUUUAGGAAAAGCUUAAUCAACCUG
This 458-nucleotide long non-coding RNA is filed under the name Sorghum bicolor (sorghum). Its description in RNAcentral is "long non-coding RNA (SBIC_LNC005752)". The record is from RNAcentral. Lineage: Eukaryota; Viridiplantae; Streptophyta; Magnoliopsida; Poales; Poaceae.